GAUGAACGCUGGCGGCGUGCCUAAUACAUGCAAGUCGAGCGAACAGACGAGGAGCUUGCUCCUCUGACGUUAGCGGCGGACGGGUGAGUAACACGUGGAUAACCUACCUCUAAGACUUGGAUAACUUCGGGAAACCGGAGCUACUACCGGAUAAUAUAUUGAACCGCAUGGUUCAAUAGUUCAAGACGGUUUUGCUGUCACUUAUAGAUGGAUCCGCGCCGCAUUAGCUAGUUGGUAAGGUAACGGCUUACCAAGGCGACGAUGCGUAGCCGACCUGAGAGGGUGAUCGGCCACACUGGAACUGAGACACGGUCCAGACUCCUACGGGAGGCAGCAGUGGGGAAUAUUCGACAAUGGGCGAAAGCUUGACGGAGCAACGCCGCGUGGGUGAAGAAGGUCUUCGGGUUGUAAAGCUCUUUUAUUGGGAAAGAAAAAAUGGGGAAGAAAACAUCGCUGUUUUGACGGUACCUAAUCAAAAAGCACCGGCUAACUUCGU
Molecule: ribosomal RNA, 496 nt
Filed under: uncultured bacterium
Lineage: Bacteria
Description: partial 16S ribosomal RNA
Rfam family: Bacterial small subunit ribosomal RNA
Source: RNAcentral